This is a long non-coding RNA of Xenia sp. Carnegie-2017, 99 nucleotides long. RefSeq lists it as uncharacterized. The record is from RefSeq and is a predicted model, not a curated record. The transcript has 3 exons. Lineage: Eukaryota; Metazoa; Cnidaria; Anthozoa; Malacalcyonacea; Xeniidae.
GUUAGAUUUUGAGUUGAUAUUAUUGGAUGGUAUAAGAUGCGUUGUCAUAGUUUCGGGUGUAUGGAUUGCGUUAAUGAAAUUCGAGUGAGACUGAAGCAA